CAGAGUAGGCAGGCGCGCGUUGGCUGAGGCCGCAGUGCCGUGCGGACGGGGAGUUGCCGCACGGACGAAAAGGGAGGACCCCUUGCGGUGCGCUUGCCGCAUCCCGCUGU
RNAcentral lists this non-coding RNA (110 nucleotides) under bovine gut metagenome. RNAcentral describes it as "THF riboswitch". It matches the Rfam family "THF (Tetrahydrofolate) riboswitch aptamer". Rfam says of the family: THF riboswitch presents a pseudoknot that joins P1-P2 and the loop of P3 and two THF binding. The record is from RNAcentral.